ACAAGGGCGCAGGGCGAAUGCCUUGGCACUGGGAGCCGAUGAAAGACGUGAUAAGCUGCGAUAAGCUUCGGGGAGCUGCAAAUAAGCAUUGAUCCGGAGAUUUCUGAAUGAGGAAACUCACCUGGGUUCAUACUCAGGUACGUUAUACUGAACUUAAAAAUAGGUAUAUCGAGGGAACCGCCUGAACUGAAACAUCUAAGUAGGGCGAGGAAGAGACAUCAAACGAGAUUCCGUAAGUAGUGGCGAGCGAACGCGGAAGAGGGCAAACCGGGAGUAGAAAUACUCCCGGGGUACGGACUGCUUUUAGGACUUAAUCUGUUAACCGAACGGCAUGGGAAGGCCGGUCAGAGAGUGUGAGAACCACGUAGGUGAAAACGGAGAGAGCUGUGCAGGAUCCAGAGUACGGCCAGACACGUGAAACCUGGUCGGAAUAUGGGGGGACCACCCUCCAACCCUAAAUACUACCCAGUGACCGAUAGCGUAUAGUACUGUGAAGGAAAGGUGAAAAGCACCCCGGGAGGGGAGUGAAAAAGAACCUGAAACCCUGUGCCUACAAGCACCUAGAGCACGUCAAUGUGUGAUAGGGUACUUUUUGUAGAACGGUCCGGCGAGCGAUUGUAUGCAGCAAGGUUAAGGACUUAAGGUCUGGAGCCGAAGCGAAAGCGAGUUUGAAAAGGGCGUUAAGUUGCAUACAAUGGGCCCGAAACCGGGUGACCUACCCAUGGUCAGGUUGAAGUGGAAGUAAAAUUCCAUGGAGGACCGAACCGACCUCCGUUGAAAAGGCGGCGGAUGAACUGUGGGUAGCGGAGAAAUUCCAAUCGAACCCGGAGAUAGCUGGUUCUCCCCGAAAUAGUUUUAGGACUAGCCUCAAGUUAGAUACCUGGAGGUAAAGCACUGAAUAGCCUAGCGGCCGAGAGGUUAGCGAAGCUUAUCAAACUCAGAAUGCCAGAGUAUUGAUGCUUGGGAGUCAGACAGUGUCAGAUAAAUGUCAUUGUCAAAAGGGAAACAGCCCAGAUCUACAGCUAAGGUCCCAAAGUCAGGUUAAGUGGAAAACGAUGUGAAGAUACGUAGACAACCAGGAUGUUGGCUCAGAAGCAGCCACACAUUCAAAGAGUGCGUAAUAGCUCACUGGUCGAGCGUCUUUGCGCGGAGAAUUUAACGGGGCUAAACCUGACACCGAAGCUUAGGCAAUACAGUAAUGUAUUGGGUAGGGGAGCGUUGUAUACGCGGUGAAACAGUAGCGCAAGCGGCUGUGGAGUGUAUAGAAGUGAGAAUGCCGGAAUGAGUAGCGCGAAUGCAGUGAGAAUCUGCAUGGCCGAAAGCCUCAGGUUUCUGGAGGAAGGUUCGUCCGCUCCAGGUUAGUCGGGAGCUAAGGUGAGGCCUAACGGCGUAGCCGAUGCACAGACGGUAGAGAUUCCGUCACCACCAAAAGAGUUAAACACAGGGACACAUUUGAAGUCUCGGAGCCGGGUGUUGGUUCCGGUAGCGAUCGAGGGAAGUUAGUACCGAAGUCCGGGAUGGAAGAUGGCGAGAAAAGCUGUGUGUAUUUCUGCGGUGCCCGUACCGCAAACCGACACAGGUAGGUAGGAAGAAGAUUCUAAGGCCAACGGGAGAAGGGUUGUUAAGGAACUCGGCAAAUUGACCCCGUAACUUCGGGAGAAGGGGUGCUCCAGAGAUGGAGCCGCAGAGAAUCGGCCCAAGCAACUGUUUACCAAAAACACAGGUUUGUGCUAAAUCGAAAGAUGACGUAUACGAGCUGACGCCUGCCCGGUGCUGGAAGGUUAAGAGGAGAUGUGCAAGCAUUGAAUCGAAGCCCCAGUGAACGGCGGCCGUAACUAUAACGGUCCUAAGGUAGCGAAAUUCCUUGUCAGGUAAGUUCUGACCCGCAUGAAAGGCGUAAUGAUUUGGGCACUGUCUCGACAGCCCGCCCGGCGAAAUUGUAGUACCGGUGAAGAUGCCGGUUACCCGCGACAAGACGGAAAGACCCCAUGGAGCUUUACUGUAGCCUAAUAUUGGGUUUCGAUGUUGCAUGCACAGGAUAGAUGGGACACAGGGAAACAAGUGCUUUGGCAUUUGUGGAGUGGCCGUUGGGAUACCAUCCUUGCGAUAUUGGAAUUCUAACCUGCGCCUUUGAAUCAAGGCGGGGGACAUUGUUAGGUGGGCAGUUUGACUGGGGCGGUCGCCUCCUAAAGAGUAACGGAGGCGUUCAAAGGUUCGCUCAGCUUGAACGGAAAUCAAGCAAAAGAGUGCAAACGCAGAAGCGAGCCUAACUGCGAGACUGACGGGUCGAGCAGUAACGAAAGUUGGAGUUAGUGAUCCGGUGGUAUGUGAGUGGAAAUGCCAUCGCUCAACGGAUAAAAGUUACCCUGGGGAUAACAGGCUGAUCUCCCCCAAGAGUCCACAUCGACGGGGAGGUUUGGCACCUCGAUGUCGGCUCAUCGCAUCCUGGGGCUGUAUUCGGUCCCAAGGGUUUGGCUGUUCGCCAAUUAAAGCGGUACGCGAGCUGGGUUCAGAACGUCGUGAGACAGUUCGGUCCCUAUCUGUCGUGGGCGCAGGAUAUUUGAUGGGAGCUGUUCCUAGUACGAGAGGACCGGAGCGGACGUACCUCUGGCGCACCAGUUGUUCUGCCAAGGGCAUAGCUGGGCAACUAUGUACGGAUCGGAUAAACGCUGAAAGCAUCUAAGCGUGAAGCCGACCCAAAGAUAAGAUAUCCCAUUGUUUCAAACAAGUAAGACCCCUUGAAGACUACAAGGUUGAUAGGCACGAUGUGUAAGUGGAGUGAUCCAUUCAGCAAGCGUGUACUAAUAGGUCGAGGGCUUGACCA
This 2824-nucleotide ribosomal RNA is filed under the name human gut metagenome. RNAcentral's name for it is "bacterial LSU rRNA". It matches the Rfam family "Bacterial large subunit ribosomal RNA". The record is from RNAcentral.